AUACGGAGGAUCCGAGCGUUAUCCGGAUUUAUUGGGUUUAAAGGGUGCGCAGGCGGGAGAUUAAGUCGGCGGUGAAAUUUUGCAGCUCAACUGGAAAAGUGGCUUCGACCCCGGUUUCCUUGAGUGUGGAUGAAGUAGGGGGAAUUUGUGGUGCAGCGGUGGAAUGCUUAGAUAUCACGAGGAACUCCGAUUGCGCAGGCAGCUUACUAAACCACUACUGACGCUCAGGCACGAAGGCGUGGGGAUCAAACAGGAUUAGAUACCCUGGUAGUCCACGCAGUAAACGAUGAUUACUGGCUGUUUGCGAUACAAUGUAAGCGGCUGAGCGAAAGCGCUAAGUAAUCCACCUGGGGAGUACGUUCGCAAGAAUGAAACUCAAAUGAAUUGACGGGG
This 393-nucleotide ribosomal RNA is filed under the name uncultured bacterium. Its description in RNAcentral is "partial 16S ribosomal RNA". It matches the Rfam family "Bacterial small subunit ribosomal RNA", at positions 523 to 918 of the family's 1533-position model. The record is from RNAcentral.